AUUGAACGCUGGCGGCAUGCCUUACACAUGCAAGUCGAACGGUAACAGGUCUUCGGAUGCUGACGAGUGGCGAACGGGUGAGUAAUACAUCGGAACGUGCCUAGUAGUGGGGGAUAACUACUCGAAAGAGUGGCUAAUACCGCAUGAGAUCUACGGAUGAAAGCAGGGGAUCGCAAGACCUUGUGCUACUAGAGCGGCCGAUGGCAGAUUAGGUAGUUGGUGGGAUAAAAGCUUACCAAGCCGACGAUCUGUAGCUGGUCUGAGAGGACGAUCAGCCACACUGGGACGGAGACACGGCCCAGACUCCUACGGGAGACAGCAGUGGGGAAUUUUGGACAAUGGGCGCAAGCCUGAUCCAGCAACGCGUGCAGGAUGAAGGCCUUCGGGUUGUAAACUGCUUUUGUACGGAACGAAAAGCCCCGGGUUAAUACCCUGGGGUCAUGACGGUACCGUAAGAAUAAGCACCGGCUAACUACGUGCCAGCAGCCGCCGUAA
RNAcentral lists this ribosomal RNA (495 nucleotides) under uncultured bacterium. Its description in RNAcentral is "partial 16S ribosomal RNA". It matches the Rfam family "Bacterial small subunit ribosomal RNA", at positions 30 to 523 of the family's 1533-position model. The record is from RNAcentral.